UGAACGAUAAACCACGAAUAUCUUACCUAACCUUAGUUUGUAUACCGUCAUUAUUAGAUAACUUUGAUAAAAUUAGUUAUUGGAAUUAUUAAAAUAAGUAAAUUAGAUCAAGGUGCAGUUUAUGGAUAGGAGAAGAUGGGUUACAUUAAUAAUAGUUUAAACGGAUUUAUUUAUGAAAUUAAAUAAUGAAGGUGGAUUUAAUUGUAAUAUUAAUAAUUUUAAUAAUUUGAUAUAGGCUCUAAAAUAUGUACAUAUCGCCCGUCGCUCGCGGGAAAAA
This 277-nucleotide ribosomal RNA is filed under the name Pagurus pollicaris (flat-clawed hermit crab). RNAcentral's name for it is "partial 12S ribosomal RNA". The record is from RNAcentral. Lineage: Eukaryota; Metazoa; Arthropoda; Malacostraca; Decapoda; Paguridae.